RNAcentral lists this ribosomal RNA (433 nucleotides) under uncultured bacterium. Its description in RNAcentral is "partial 16S ribosomal RNA". It matches the Rfam family "Bacterial small subunit ribosomal RNA", at positions 29 to 507 of the family's 1533-position model. The record is from RNAcentral.
AGCGAACGCUGGCGGCAGGCCUAACACAUGCAAGUCGAGCGGACCCUUCGGGGUUAGCGGCGGACAGGUGAGUAACGCGUGGGAAUAUGCCCUUCUCUACGGAAUAGUCCUGGGAAACUGGGGGUAAUACCGUAUACGCCCUUUGGGGGAAAGAUUUAUCGGGGAAGGAUUAGCCCGCGUUGGAUUAGGUAGUUGGUGGGGUAAUGGCCUACCAAGCCGACGAUCCAUAGCUGGUUUGAGAGGAUGAUCAGCCACACUGGGACUGAGACACGGCCCAGACUCCUACGGGAGGCAGCAGUGGGGAAUCUUAGACAAUGGGGGCAACCCUGAUCUAGCCAUGCCGCGUGAGUGAUGAAGGCCUUAGGGUUGUAAAGCUCUUUCAGCUGGGAAGAUAAUGACGGUACUAGCAGAAGAAGCCCCGGCUAACUCCGUG